Molecule: ribosomal RNA, 228 nt
Filed under: Janibacter terrae
Lineage: Bacteria; Bacillati; Actinomycetota; Actinomycetes; Micrococcales; Intrasporangiaceae
Description: partial 16S ribosomal RNA
Rfam family: Bacterial small subunit ribosomal RNA
Source: RNAcentral
UCAACGGAGAGUUUGAUCCUGGCUCAGGACGAACGCUGGCGGCGUGCUUAACACAUGCAAGUCGAACGGUGAAGCUCCAGCUUGCUGGAGUGGAUCAGUGGCGAACGGGUGAGUAACACGUGAGCAACCUGCCCCAAACUCUGGAAUAAGCGCUGGAAACGGCGUCUAAUACUGGAUACGAGACCAACCUGCAUGGGUAUGGUUUGGAAAGUUUUUCGGUUUGGGAUG